GGCCUCGUAGCUCAGUUGGCUAGAGCGUUGGGUGUACUAAAGCCUUCACCUGGCUAGCAUGAGUUCGAAUCCCACCGAGGCCA
RNAcentral lists this transfer RNA (83 nucleotides) under Schistocephalus solidus. It matches the Rfam family "tRNA". From Rfam's summary of the family: Transfer RNA (tRNA) molecules are approximately 80 nucleotides in length. Their secondary structure includes four short double-helical elements and three loops (D, anti-codon, and T loops). Further hydrogen bonds mediate the characteristic L-shaped molecular structure. tRNAs have two regions of fundamental functional importance: the anti-codon, which is responsible for specific mRNA codon recognition, and the 3' end, to which the tRNAs corresponding amino acid is attached (by aminoacyl-tRNA synthetases). tRNAs cope with the degeneracy of the genetic code in two manners: having more than one tRNA (with a specific anti-codon) for a particular amino acid; and 'wobble' base-pairing, i.e. permitting non-standard base-pairing at the 3rd anti-codon position. Lineage: Eukaryota; Metazoa; Platyhelminthes; Cestoda; Diphyllobothriidea; Diphyllobothriidae. The record is from Rfam by way of RNAcentral.